GACGAACGCUGGCGGCGUGCCUAAUACAUGCAAGUAGAACGCUGAAGGAGGAGCUUGCUUCUCCGGAUGAGUUGCGAACGGGUGAGUAACGCGUAGGUAACCUGCCUGGUAGCGGGGGAUAACUAUUGGAAACGAUAGCUAAUACCGCAUAACAGUAGAUGUUGCAUGACAUUUGCUUAAAAGGUGCAAUUGCAUCACUACCAGAUGGACCUGCGUUGUAUUAGCUAGUUGGUGAGGUAACGGCUCACCAAGGCGACGAUGCAUAGCCGACCUGAGAGGGUGAUCGGCCACACUGGGACUGAGACACGGCCCAGACUCCUACGGGAGGCAGCAGUAGGGAAUCUUCGGCAAUGGACGGAAGUCUGACCGAGCAACGCCGCGUGAGUGAAGAAGGUUUUCGGAUCGUAAAGCUCUGUUGUAAGAGAAGAACGAGUGUGAGAGUGGAAAGUUCACACUGUGACGGUAUCUUACCAGAAAGGGACGGCUAACUACGU
RNAcentral lists this ribosomal RNA (494 nucleotides) under uncultured bacterium. Its description in RNAcentral is "partial 16S ribosomal RNA". It matches the Rfam family "Bacterial small subunit ribosomal RNA", at positions 28 to 506 of the family's 1533-position model. The record is from RNAcentral.